Molecule: ribosomal RNA, 760 nt
Filed under: uncultured bacterium
Lineage: Bacteria
Description: bacterial SSU rRNA
Rfam family: Bacterial small subunit ribosomal RNA
Source: RNAcentral
UUUCAAAACUGCAUCCCUUGAGUAUCGGAGAGGCAAGCGGAAUUCCUAGUGUAGCGGUGAAAUGCGUAGAUAUUAGGAGGAACACCGGUGGCGAAGGCGGCUUUCUGGACUGUAACUGACGCUGAGGUACGAAAGCGUGGGGAGCAAACAGGAUUAGAUACCCUGGUAGUCCACGCCGUAAACGAUGAGCACUAGGUGUCGGGGUCGUAGGAUUUCGGUGCCGCAGUUAACGCAUUAAGUGCUCCGCCUGGGGAGUACGCACGCAAGUGUGGAACUCAAAGGAAUUGACGGGGACCCGCACAAGCAGCGGAGCAUGUGGUUUAAUUCGAAGCAACGCGAAGAACCUUACCAGGACUUGACAUCCCUCUGACAGACCUUUAACCGGGUCCUUCUUCGGACAGAGGAGACAGGUGGUGCAUGGUUGUCGUCAGCUCGUGUCGUGAGAUGUUGGGUUAAGUCCCGCAACGAGCGCAACCCUUGUUGCUAGUUACUAACAUUAAGUUGAGGACUCUAGUGAGACUGCCGGGGACAACUCGGAGGAAGGUGGGGAUGACGUCAAAUCAUCAUGCCCCUUAUGUUCUGGGCUACACACGUGCUACAAUGGCCGGUACAAAGAGACGCAAAGUCGUGAGGCGGAGCAAAACUCAAAAACCGGUCCCAGUUCGGACUGCAGGCUGCAACUCGCCUGCACGAAGUUGGAGUUGCUAGUAAUCGUGGAUCAGAAUGCCACGGUGAAUGCGUUCCCGGGUCUUGUACACAC